This 1057-nucleotide long non-coding RNA is filed under the name Equus asinus (donkey). RNAcentral describes it as "lncRNA (ENSEASG00005028597.1)". The record is from RNAcentral. Lineage: Eukaryota; Metazoa; Chordata; Mammalia; Perissodactyla; Equidae.
UGAGUGUUCACUUUUUCUUUUACUUGCUCUGUGACUGGCUUAUGAACAGUCUCUCUUUAAGGAAGAUUGUGAUCUUACAUUGAUUGACAGGCAGCAGUCACAGCUCCUAUAAUACGUGUCAUGGCUCCAGACCAAGAGAAAAUUAUUUGUUCACUUGGAAAAUGCUUGUGUUUGACCCCUUCCUGUGCGAGAGAAAAGGUGAUGAGCAGAAGCCACUAUCAUCUCUGCAGAACAUUUUUGACUCAGCAGCUGAAAGUGACAGCUUAGGUUAUAGAAAAUUGGUGGAGAUACAAUUGGAUAAAUAAAAGUCAUUUUUUCUUUCAGAAGUUAGAGUAUAUAAACUAAGAAACAGAAGUUUGCAGAGCCUAAAUAUCCGAACCUUGGAGGAGUGGAAGAUUUGCCCUGAGCUAACAUCUGCUGCUAAUCUUCCUCUUUUUGUAUAUGAGCCACGACGACAGCAUGGCCUCUGACAGAGGAGUGGUGUAGGUCUGCGUCCAGGAACUGCACCCAGGCUGCCAAAGCGGAGCAUGCCGAAAUUAACCACUAGGCCACUGGGGCUGGCCUGCUUAGUAACUUUUUAAACUUAAAAUAUCUUGGUGACAUGUCUGUGCUUAUAGAUCUACCUCAUUUUGGUAAUGGCAUAGGAUUCUAUAUAAAAGACAAAUCAUAAUUUAGCUAACCCUUCCCCAGUGGAUAGAGUUUGAGUUCCCAGUUACCUACCAUCACAAACACUCCUGUGACAAUCAUCCUUGCACCCAUAUCUUUUGGCUCACUUCUACAAGUAUGGGCUUCCUUCUCUAAUGCUAUGUAUGAGCUCCUAAAAAUCCUUACGUUCUUCAAGAUGGUGCAGUUAAGAUACCAGGACAUAAAAUAGAGUGUGGCAGAUCACUCAACACCUAUCCCUCUUGGAAACUAGAGCACCAACAAAACCAAGUUGAUAAUUGGGGACAUCAUGUGGGCUGUCCAGGCAAGAGAGCUCUGUGUGCCUGGGGCUGCCACGGUGGAGAUUAAAAAUGUACAAAGUCAGUAAAUGGAAAUGCUGAUAAAAGUAGGGCUG